UACGAAGGUGCAAGCGUUACUCGGAAUUACUGGGCGUAAAGCGCGUGUAGGUGGUUCUGUAAGUAGGGCGUGAAAGCUCCCGGCUCAACUGGGAGAGGCCGUUCUAAACUGCAGAGCUAGAGGAUGGUAGAGGGAGGUGGAAUUCCAGGUGUAGCGGUGGAAUGCGCAGAUAUCUGGAGGAACACCAGUGGCGAAGGCGGCCUCCUGGACCAUUCCUGACACUCAGACGCGAAAGCUAGGGUAGCAAACGGGAUUAGAUACCCCCGUAGU
Molecule: ribosomal RNA, 270 nt
Filed under: uncultured prokaryote
Description: partial 16S ribosomal RNA
Rfam family: Bacterial small subunit ribosomal RNA
Source: RNAcentral